GCUCAAAUUUGAAAUCUUAAAGGGUUUCCCUUUACGAAUUGUAGUUUAAAGAAGUGUUUUCUGUUGAGGUUUUGGUAAAAGUUCUUUGGAAUAGGACAUCGUAGAGGGUGAGAAUCCCGUAUUUGACCUUUACUUUCAACUUUGUGAUACACUUUCAAGGAGUCGGAUUGUUUGGGAAUGCAGUCCAAAAUGGGUGGUAAAUUUCAUCUAAAGCUAAAUAUUGGCGAGAGACCGAUAGCGAACAAGUACCGUGAGGGAAAGAUGAAAAGAACUUUGAAAAGAGAGUUAAACAGUACGUGAAAUUGUCAAAAGGGAAGCGUUUGACACCAGUGUUGUUUUUCUGAAAAUCAAUUAAAGAACUGUUUAUGCUAAGUUGUUUAGACUUUAUCAGCUAUCUGUUUAGUUUUGAGCUUUUCUUUAAUGCACUUUUCAGUUAACAAG
RNAcentral lists this ribosomal RNA (441 nucleotides) under uncultured Neocallimastigomycetes. Its description in RNAcentral is "LSU rRNA". It matches the Rfam family "Eukaryotic large subunit ribosomal RNA", at positions 107 to 543 of the family's 3401-position model. The record is from RNAcentral. Lineage: Eukaryota; Fungi; Neocallimastigomycota; Neocallimastigomycetes.